This 342-nucleotide unclassified non-coding RNA is filed under the name uncultured fungus. Its description in RNAcentral is "partial contains 5.8S ribosomal RNA, internal transcribed spacer 2, and large subunit ribosomal RNA". Lineage: Eukaryota; Fungi. The record is from RNAcentral.
AACGCAUAUUGCACUCCCUGGCAUUCCGGGGAGUAUGCCUGUUUCAGUAUCAUAAAGUAACUCAAGCAUUCCUUUUCUUGGGGGAUGAAUUUGGAUGUGGGUUAUGCAAAAAAAAAAAUUUUUUUUUGGCUUUUGCUGACCUUAAAUGCAUCUGCGAGGUUCAAUUUUUCGGGCAAUUAAGGCGUCAUAGUUGGCCUUGGCCAUCUUUCGCCGAGCUUUUGAAUUGGAACUCGCGGACCAAUCCCUCUCCUAUUUUUGGUGGGAGCAGGGAAAAGGCCGAGAUUGGCCUUUUGAUUUUUCAAACUUGAUCUGAAAUUAGGUAGGAAUACCCGCUGAACUUAA